RNAcentral lists this ribosomal RNA (495 nucleotides) under uncultured bacterium. RNAcentral's name for it is "partial 16S ribosomal RNA". It matches the Rfam family "Bacterial small subunit ribosomal RNA", at positions 28 to 507 of the family's 1533-position model. The record is from RNAcentral.
GAUGAACGCUGGCGGCGUGCCUAAUACAUGCAAGUAGAACGCUGAAGGAGGAGCUUGCUCUUCUGGAUGAGUUGCGAACGGGUGAGUAACGCGUAGGUAACCUGCCUGGUAGCGGGGGAUAACUAUUGGAAACGAUAGCUAAUACCGCAUGACAACAGUUAUUGCAUGAUAACUGUUUAAAAGGGGCAACUGCUCCACUACCAGAUGGACCUGCGUUGUAUUAGCUAGUUGGUGAGGUAACGGCUCACCAAGGCGACGAUACAUAGCCGACCUGAGAGGGUGAUCGGCCACACUGGGACUGAGACACGGCCCAGACUCCUACGGGAGGCAGCAGUAGGGAAUCUUCGGCAAUGGACGGAAGUCUGACCGAGCAACGCCGCGUGAGUGAAGAAGGUUUUCGGAUCGUAAAGCUCUGUUGUAUGAGAAGAACGAGUGUGAGAGUGGAAAGUUCACACUGUGACGGUAUCUUACCAGAAAGGGACGGCUAACUACGUG